Molecule: non-coding RNA, 217 nt
Filed under: Bacillus sp. (in: firmicutes)
Lineage: Bacteria; Bacillati; Bacillota; Bacilli; Caryophanales; Bacillaceae
Description: Bacillus sp. T-box sequence
Rfam family: T-box leader
About the family: Uncharged tRNA acts as the effector for transcription antitermination of genes in the T-box leader family. T-boxes are found upstream of many aminoacyl-tRNA synthetase genes and some amino acid biosynthetic genes usually in Gram-positive bacteria. The anticodon of a specific tRNA base pairs to a specifier sequence within the T-box motif, and the NCCA acceptor tail of the tRNA base pairs to a conserved bulge in the T-box antiterminator hairpin.
Source: RNAcentral
GAACAUACAUUGAAGGAAUGAGUACACAUUAGCCCAUUCACAGAGACAUGCUUUCUUGGCUGGAAAGAGCAUGAUUGAAGAAAUGUGGAAUGCUAUUCUGGAGUAGCAAUUAAAAGGUUGCCGUGCCCCAGCGUUAAAGGGACUGAAGUGAUGAUAACAAGGUUACUCGUUAUCAUAAUGAGGGUGGUACCGCGUGAACAGACAUCUCGUCCCUUUU